Molecule: transfer RNA, 97 nt
Filed under: Nonomuraea coxensis DSM 45129
Lineage: Bacteria; Bacillati; Actinomycetota; Actinomycetes; Streptosporangiales; Streptosporangiaceae
Description: tRNA-Arg
Source: RNAcentral
CGAGCGGCUGUCCGGCCUGCUGGAGGAGGCGGGCUACGUGCCCGCGUCCGACGGCGAGACCGCCGACGUCGUCGUGUUCAACACGUGUGCCGUGCGG